Molecule: long non-coding RNA, 987 nt
Organism: Tribolium castaneum (red flour beetle)
Lineage: Eukaryota; Metazoa; Arthropoda; Insecta; Coleoptera; Tenebrionidae
Exons: 3
Source: RefSeq, a predicted model, not a curated record
UCUACGGAGUACCACUUGAAUUAUUUCGCGAGUGUGCGCAUCCCUUAUUCUAACGAUAGAUGGUUUGUUUACAGUCUAAUUAACCUGUACAAUUCUUUGAUUUUUUGAAGAUGUUAUGAGGUGACUUAAAUAGUUGUGAUUGUAUCAGGGAGGUUCACGUUAGCGAUUUAAGGAAAAUCAGUCAUAACGUCUCCUGGACUGAACAACAAAAAGGGGCUCUAAAACCACAUCGAGAUGCCCUGAGCUCGAUGCGACAAACACAAAGGAACGUGAUCUCUGAAAUUCCCACAAAAGUUGUUCAAAAUUUGUAGGGGAACGGUAUGAAACACUCGGGAAAUACCCGUACCUCGUAGCUCCUUCACGGUAAAACGAUACAACAUCGAAAUUUAACAGAAAGGAAAAGAACACUAAUCCAGCUCCCUCUUAAAGCUGUGGUUAACGAUAAACUACUAAAGAACUUAAUAAAAUAAUACAGUUUGACGAAACAUAUUGAGCGCUCGAUGUUGUUGCACCAACGAUGGAAAGUACCCAGGCAAUAAGUGAGGCUCCAAAACGCCCCUCACUCCAGCGAAAUAACCUUUUGAAAUCUAAUUACUCGAAAAUAAAUAUAAUAACAUUGUAAAUGUUACAAAGUUUAAGACUUGUUGAGUCUAAUUCGAAGAAUAAAAUGUUAUUAUUAUUAAGGAUCUUACAAUGUGUUUUAUCCGCGCAAAGGUUUGACGUUUGUCAAAUUAAUUUUUAAAAUAGAAAUACUAUAUUAGGUCCGACUUCGGUUACAGUAAAUUUGUUCUCGGCGCCGAAUAAAUAAGAAACCAUUGAAACCAACCAUAUGUUCUCUUUUAAUUUAAAGAUCAAUGUAGAAAAUGCAGUUUAUUUUUGUUACGGGUCUUACGGUGUUUUCAUAAGACCUAUAGGUUUUAUUGAUAUCAUAAGAGGUCUCCUAGUAGCAAUAUUAUGAUCUAAUAAUAGACUGGUUAUAGAUAAAAA